GUGCUUGCUUCGGCAGCACAUAUACUAAAAUUGGGCUGACACGGAGAAGAUUAGCAUGGCCUCUGCGCAAAGAUGACACAUAAAAUAAAAUCAGUCAUAGCAAUUCU
This 107-nucleotide small nuclear RNA is filed under the name Zalophus californianus (California sea lion). The record is from RNAcentral. Lineage: Eukaryota; Metazoa; Chordata; Mammalia; Carnivora; Otariidae.